UUCUGCAAAAUUCAGGAUCAUUUUUGGAAGUGCUAAGAAAACAACUUCUGCAUGAAGUUUGUAUCUGAAUCACCUUUUGGAGAUGAGAAUUUCCAGAAGUAGCUCCGACAGACUUUUCUAUGAAUUGUAAGCAAAAGGAGGACGAGACUGAUUCUGAGAAGGAAUUAAAGGUUUAGUUUCAUUCUUAAGAAUGUUACCGAUAAUUGCACUGUGAUUACUAUUUAGAUGCUGCUUGCCAACAAUAGAAUACUUGAACUUCAGAAAUGUAUUGAUAAUGACCUUCAGAAUACUUUUCCUUGGCCCUGUAGUGAAAUAAAUGCUUCCUGUGUAGUGGAUCAAAGAUAUUAAGCAUUACUAAAAGCUGGGCUGUGUGCUACAGAACUUAUUUAUUCUUUAUGUAUAAUGCAUUUGCCUCUUUUGAACAACAGUGUAUGAGGAAGAGCUGUGAACACAAAACGACCAAGUUACAACAGAGUAUCUCGGCUCAACAGCUGUAAGCACCUGCAUGUUUGAGAAGACCAAAACCUUAAAGUGACAGAUGCCAGGGAUUAUGAGAUGGUUUGAUGUUGCAGACCAAUGGGAAAUUGAAUCUAAUUCUCCUGCGAUGGCUGACUGAUGCAUUUUAUACCAGAUACAGAAUUUUGCAAUCAACUCUAAUUAGAUCUGGAUGCAGAGCUAUUCCGAGUUUCCUAUGGAAAUUUUACUGAAUUGCAUUUCAUGAGAUUCUGCUAUCUCCUGGUAAGUGCUGAAGACACAUAGAUGGUAUUUUUGUCUUUUUGAAUACAAGAGGAGCUUUGUCAGAUGGCUCUUGAUAGGAUUGUGAGACCAUGGUCUUUUGGACAGUAAUUUUCCAGAAUUCAGGUCUCUGCCAAUUUGUUUAGGAAUCAGGUUGCAAACUCCCUCUCCCCUUAGCACUUAAUUGUGUUCUUGUCAAUUAGCUAGACCACAGGGCCUGGAUGCCAUCAGAGGGGAGGCCUCAUCAUCCAAGGCCUCAAUUGUAUAAAUAACAGGCGUUAAAGGGAGUGAGGCAAGAGGUCAGGCUUCACCACAGUCUGUAGAUAACAUAGGAAUGGUGUCAAGAUGACUUUUCCUUUGAUUAUGGAAAGAGAUGAGGCACCAUAUUUAUUAGAUAAGGUGGUUGAUUUGUAGUCAGGUGCCAUAUUUAUUAGAUAAAAUGAUUGAUUCGUAGUCAAGAUCAGAUUCCAUCAUUACUUCCCAUGAGAGAUGUCAUGGGAAUAAGCUCUGCCUGGGGCCCUGUUGCUAACGAGCUGUCCAGUUCAAGGAGCAAUAACAUGGAGGCCUGCUAUGGCUCACAAGCCUGAGUAAGACUUAUAUGAAGUACAGGAGCAGUGUGUGUACCCAUCACACUUCUGUAUCAAAACCUUUGCAUGCAAUUGCAUGAAGAAGAUGGUGUCUUUAGCAGCAGGUUCUGUUUGAGAGGUCUACUGCCUAACAGGCAACUGUCAUUGGAAGUAUCCCAGAAUUAAUUUUUCUAAUUAGAUUGGUUGUUUUGCUUCUUUUAACGUAUAAAAGACCAUAUAUUUUCAUUUUUGUUAAUGUCCAUUCAUUCCUCAAAGACAUUUUUAAAACUACUUUUUUUUUUUUUUUUAAAUAACUAGUACACUCUUGAAGAUACCUUAUUUAUGGUAAGAAUUUUGGCUAACUAUUUAAGCUUGCCAUCACUGGAUCAACAUCCCAUAUAAUCUG
This 1707-nucleotide long non-coding RNA is filed under the name Anser cygnoides (Swan goose). RNAcentral's name for it is "lncRNA (ENSACDG00005013814.1)". The record is from RNAcentral. Lineage: Eukaryota; Metazoa; Chordata; Aves; Anseriformes; Anatidae.